GAUGAACGCUGGCGGCGUGCCUAAUACAUGCAAGUCGAGCGAACGGACGAGAAGCUUGCUUCUCUGAUGUUAGCGGCGGACGGGUGAGUAACACGUGGAUAACCUACCUAUAAGACUGGGAUAACUUCGGGAAACCGGAGCUAAUACCGGAUAAUAUUUUGAACCGCAUGGUUCAAAAGUGAAAGACGGUCUUGCUGUCACUUAUAGAUGGAUCAGCGCUGCAUUAGCUAGUUGGUAAGGUAACGGGUUACCAAGGCAACGAUGCAUAGCCGACCGGAGAGGGUGAUCGGCCCCACUGGAACUGAGACACGGUCCAGACUCCUACGGGAGGCAGCAGUAGGGAAUCUUCCGCAAUGGGCGAAAGCCUGACGGAGCAACGCCGCGUGAGUGAUGAAGGUCUUCGGAUCGUAAAACUCUGUUAUUAGGGAAGAACAUAUGUGUAAGUAACUGUGCACAUCUUGACGGUACCUAAUCAGAAAGCCACGGCUAACUACGUG
This 497-nucleotide ribosomal RNA is filed under the name uncultured bacterium. RNAcentral's name for it is "partial 16S ribosomal RNA". It matches the Rfam family "Bacterial small subunit ribosomal RNA", at positions 28 to 507 of the family's 1533-position model. The record is from RNAcentral.